This 429-nucleotide ribosomal RNA is filed under the name uncultured bacterium. RNAcentral's name for it is "bacterial SSU rRNA". It matches the Rfam family "Bacterial small subunit ribosomal RNA", at positions 355 to 776 of the family's 1533-position model. The record is from RNAcentral.
UGGGGAAUCUUCCGCAAUGGACGAAAGUCUGACGGAGCGACGCCGCGUGAGUGAAGAAGGCCUUCGGGUCGUAAAGCUCUGUCAUCAGGGACGAACGGCCGGUGGAGUGGAAAGCCAUCGGAUUGACGGUACCUGAGAAGGAAGCCACGGCUAACUACGUGCCAGCAGCCGCGGUAAUACGUAGGUGGCAAGCGUUGUCCGGAAUUAUUGGGCGUAAAGCGCGCGCAGGUGGGAUCUUAAGUCCAUUUUGAAAGUUCGGAGCUCAACUCCGUGAUGGGAUGGAAACUGGGAUUCUUGAGUACCGGAGAGGAAAGCGGAAUUCCCCGUGUAGCGGUGAAAUGCGUAGAUAUGGGGAGGAACACCAGUGGCGAAGGCGGCUUUCUGGACGGUGUCUGACACUGAGGCGCGAAAGCUAGGGGAGCGAACGGG